GAUGAACGCUGGCGGCGUGCCUAAUACAUGCAAGUCGAGCGAACGGACGAGAAGCUUGCUUCUCUGAUGUUAGCGGCGGACGGGUGAGUAACACGUGGAUAACCUACCUAUAAGACUGGGAUAACUUCGGGAAACCGGAGCUAAUACCGGAUAAUAUUUUGAACCGCAUGGUUCAAAAGUGAAAGACGGUCUUGCUGUCACUUCUAGAUGGAUCCGCGCUGCAUUAGCUAGUUGGUAAGGUAACGGCUUACCAAGGCAACGAUGCAUAGCCGACCUGAGAGGGUGGUCGGCCACACUGGGACUGAGACACGGUACAGAGGCCUACGGGAGGCAGCAGUAGGGAAUCGUGCGCAAUGGGCGAAAGCCUGACGGAGCAACGCCGCGGGAGUGAUGAAGGUCUUCGGAUCGGAAAACUCUGUUAUUAGGGAAGAACAUAUGUGUAAGUAACUGUGCACAUCUUGACGGUACCUAAUCAGAAAGCCACGGCUAACUACGUG
This 497-nucleotide ribosomal RNA is filed under the name uncultured bacterium. RNAcentral's name for it is "partial 16S ribosomal RNA". It matches the Rfam family "Bacterial small subunit ribosomal RNA", at positions 28 to 507 of the family's 1533-position model. The record is from RNAcentral.